GGGGUCAUAGCUUAGCUGGCUUAAAGCGCCUGCCUGUCACGCAGGAGAUCGAGGGUUCGAAUCCCUUUGGCCCCGCCA
This 78-nucleotide transfer RNA is filed under the name Omnitrophica bacterium RIFCSPHIGHO2_02_FULL_51_18. RNAcentral describes it as "tRNA-Asp". It matches the Rfam family "tRNA". Rfam says of the family: Transfer RNA (tRNA) molecules are approximately 80 nucleotides in length. The record is from RNAcentral. Lineage: Bacteria; Pseudomonadati; Candidatus Omnitrophota.